AGAGUUUGAUCCUGGCUCAGGAUGAACGCUAGCUACAGGCUUAACACAUGCAAGUCGAGGGGAAACGAUAUUGGAAGCUUGCUUCCGAUAGGCGUCGACCGGCGCACGGGUGAGUAACGCGUAUCCAACCUGCCCACCACUUGGGGAUAACCUUGCGAAAGUAAGACUAAUACCCAAUGAUAUCUCUAGAAGACAUCUGAAAGAGAUUAAAGAUUUAUCGGUGAUGGAUGGGGAUGCGUCUGAUUAGCUUGUUGGCGGGGUAACGGCCCACCAAGGCAACGAUCAGUAGGGGUUCUGAGAGGAGGGUCCCCCACAUUGGAACUGAGACACGGUCCAAACUCCUACGGGAGGCAGCAGUGAGGAAUAUUGGUCAAUGGGCGAGAGCCUGAACCAGCCAAGUAGCGUGCAGGAAGACGGCCCUAUGGGUUGUAAACUGCUUUUAUAAGGGAAUAAAGUGAGUCUCGUGAGACUUUUUGCAUGUACCUUAUGAAUAAGGACCGGCUAAUUCCGUGCCAGCAGCCGCGGUAAUACGGAAGGUCCGGGCGUUAUCCGGAUUUAUUGGGUUUAAAGGGAGCGUAGGCCGGAGAUUAAGCGUGUUGUGAAAUGUAGACGCUCAACGUCUGCACUGCAGCGCGAACUGGUUUACUUGAGUACGCACAAAGUGGGCGGAAUUCGUGGUGUAGCGGUGAAAUGCUUAGAUAUCACGAAGAACCCCGAUUGCGAAGGCAGCUCACUGGAGCGCAACUGACGCUGAAGCUCGAAAGUGCGGGUAUCGAACAGGAUUAGAUACCCUGGUAGUCCGCACGGUAAACGAUGGAUGCCCGCUGUUUGUCUGAACAGGUCAGCGGCCAAGCGAAAGCAUUAAGCAUCCCACCUGGGGAGUACGCCGGCAACGGUGACACUCAAAGGAAUUGACGGGGGCCCGCACAAGCGGAGGAACAUGUGGUUUAAUUCGAUGAUACGCGAGGAACCUUACCCGGGCUUGAAUUGCAGAGGAAGGAUUUGGAGACAAUGACGCCCUUCGGGGUCUCUGUGAAGGUGCUGCAUGGUUGUCGUCAGCUCGUGCCGUGAGGUGUCGGCUUAAGUGCCAUAACGAGCGCAACCCCUCUCCUUAGUUGCCAUCAGGUUAAGCUGGGCACUCUGGGGACACUGCCACCGUAAGGUGUGAGGAAGGUGGGGAUGACGUCAAAUCAGCACGGCCCUUACGUCC
RNAcentral lists this ribosomal RNA (1210 nucleotides) under metagenome. Its description in RNAcentral is "bacterial SSU rRNA". It matches the Rfam family "Bacterial small subunit ribosomal RNA", at positions 8 to 1209 of the family's 1533-position model. The record is from RNAcentral.